Molecule: RNA transcript, 3264 nt
Organism: Symphalangus syndactylus (siamang)
Lineage: Eukaryota; Metazoa; Chordata; Mammalia; Primates; Hylobatidae
Gene: DPM1
Gene name: dolichyl-phosphate mannosyltransferase subunit 1, catalytic
Source: RefSeq, a predicted model, not a curated record
UCCGGCAUCUGGUUCAGUUCCGCCAUGGCCUCCUUGGAAGUCAGUCGUAGUCCUCGCAGGUCUCGGCGGGAGCUGGAAGUGCGCAGUCCACGACAGAACAAAUAUUCGGUGCUUUUACCCACCUACAACGAGCGCGAGAACCUGCCGCUCAUCGUGUGGCUGCUGGUGAAAAGCUUCUCCGAGAGUGGAAUCAACUAUGAAAUUAUAAUCAUAGAUGAUGGAAGCCCAGAUGGAACAAGGGAUGUUGCUGAACAGUUGGAGAAGAUCUAUGGGUCAGACAGAAUUCUUCUAAGACCACGAGAGAAAAAGUUGGGACUAGGAACUGCAUAUAUUCAUGGAAUGAAACAUGCCACAGGAAACUACAUAAUUAUUAUGGAUGCUGAUCUCUCACACCAUCCAAAAUUUAUUCCUGAAUUUAUUAGGAAGCAAAAGGAGGGCAAUUUUGAUAUUGUCUCCGGAACUCGCUACAAAGGAAAUGGAGGUGUAUAUGGCUGGGAUUUGAAAAGAAAAAUAAUCAGCCGUGGGGCCAAUUUUUUAACUCAGAUCUUGCUGAGACCAGGAGCAUCUGAUUUAACAGGAAGUUUCAGAUUAUACCGAAAAGAAGUUCUAGAGAAAUUAAUAGAAAAAUGUGUUUCUAAAGGCUACGUCUUCCAGAUGGAGAUGAUUGUUCGGGCAAGACAGUUGAAUUAUACUAUUGGCGAGGUUCCAAUAUCAUUUGUGGAUCGUGUUUAUGGUGAAUCCAAGUUGGGAGGAAAUGAAAUAGUGUCUUUCUUGAAAGGAUUAUUGACUCUUUUUGCUACUACAUAAAAGAAAGAUACUCAUUUAUACUUACGUUCAUUUCAGUUUAAACAUGAAAGAAGCCUGGUUACUGAUUUUUAUAAAAUGUACUCUUAAAGUAUAAAAUAUAAGGUCAAAGAGAAGAGUCCAUCACUGUGACUGGGAAGAAUGUCAAGUCACAGGGUAACGGCGGACCUUAAUAAAAUCUCGGCCCCUCUGCACCGAAUACCCCACCAGGAAGGGCUAAGGCAUCCAUGAGGUUGUGUCUCAUCUCAAGUCGCUGUGUGAAGCACGAGGCCCUCACACCUAAUUUAAGGCAGGAGGCGUCAGGGGCGACCGGCCAGGUGUCCCGGCGCCUUCCCGCCGCUUCUCAGCCGUGGAAGCGCGGGCAUCUGAGCACGUGGAGGCGCCCCAGGCCGCCCCGCACACCCCUCCCGCCAGAUGUAGUCCAGGCCCAGCUGGGCCCGCGCAGGGAUCCCCAGCACGGCCACCUGACUGAGUGCUGGGCGUGCUGCGGCCCGCUGCUUCUGCCUCCGCCGCCGGCGCUGCGGCCAGAGGAAGGCGCCCGCCGAGCACACGGGCCGCGGGAGCGCACUGCGGCCAUUAUCCGCGGCGCCUCCUAGUGGGUCAAUGGCAAAUCCGCCUGGUUCUCGCGAGAGUUCCCCCCUCAGUGGGGAUUAUAUAAUUUCCCUCAGGCGGGGGUGGGGGUGCAGAGAGCACCCUCCCUCAGGAAAAGUUAGGUGCAAGCAGGGGUGGGAGUAAGAGGAACCCCCCCUGGGGAAAAUGGGGUUGGGGUGCUCUCCCCACUGCCCCCCCUAUUUAGCUGGACAAUGAGUCCUCUUAUGCUAAUGAGGCACUUACGUCACUUCCGCUCUUUCUCGGCCGCCAUUUUGGCUAGGGCAGGUUCGGGGACUCGGUCCGAGGCGCUUGUAUUGUCUGCUGAGGGGAGACGCGGGAUCAGCCCCCUCCCCCGCCCGUUGCCGCCGCCGCCUCCGCCGGCCCGGUCUCCCCUCCGCCGCCCGCCGGGAUCCAUGAGCUGAACUCCCACCCCCCCGGCCGCCGCCAUCUUGUGCCCCCUCCCCCUCCCGCAGGCAGCGCUAAGGGGGAUUUUGGCGUCUUCUCAGACACAGCUCCCUCUCUCGGUUCCCGCUGCUGAGGAGCGAGAGGAGCGCGGCCGCCGCCGCCCGCGCCGGUGAAGCCGCCUCUCCCACACCCUCCGUCUGCUCCCUCCGCCCCUCCUUUGUCUGCACCGCUCGACGACGCCGCCGCCGCCCGCCGCUCUGCUGCGCCCGCCGCGCCCCCCGGCAGCACCCGCGGCCGCGGCGCGAGCCGGAGUCCGCCGAGCCGGAGCGCGACGAGGCCCCGGGCGCGCCCUCCCCGCUGCCGCCACCGCCGUGCUGCCGCCAUCCACCCGCCGCCGCCGCCGCCGCCGCCGCCGCUGUCCGGCCCCCGAGCACGCCGACCCCGCGCGCGCCUCGAGGCCGAGUCAAGGAUUUUAAACAAUUUGAACCUAAUGACUUUUAUUUGAAAAACACUACAUGGGAGGAUGUAGGACUAUGGGACCCUUCACUUACGAAAAACCAGAUGAAGUUAAGCGUUCGUUUUCACCUUACAAUGGGAACAACUGUAGUGCAGGCAGCUCUGCCUCUGUUGCCACUCUUGGCCCUCUUGCUAUUAAGGGAAAGGCUUUGAAGAGCACACAUUUACAGGGCUGUAAAGAUGGAAGGAGCUGGUAUUUUUACCAUGGGUAGAUUCCCAAGAGAACUUGUACUAAAAAGCAGAAAGUUACAAGGAAGCAGAAUUAGGCCAACAUUUCCAGCAAUUAAAACAAUGAUGGGAAGCUCCAAUCCAUGAGGAGGCUGGUCAGUCACCUCAAGAAUACUGGCCUAAAGAAGUCUGAAGUGGCUGAUGUCCAUAACCUGUGAGUCCGUUUCCAAAAGACUCUUGUUAAUGCUGUUAGCAGAGAGUAGAGAUGUGACCGGCCUCUCCCUAAGAUGUUACGCUUCUCAACAACAGUACAGGAAGAAGUGCAAGAAUAGACUAGAACCUUUAAGGAAUUUGGGGCUGGAAUGGAGCCAUGUUACAUCUGUUGUUACACAGGUAGAUUAUAAAUUCUACAUGCACCAGCCAAAACUUAGGACAGGAUGUCCCCAAAUUAAGAUGCUACAGAUUACCAAAUCAGAAAUAACCAGCUGGAUUUAGGCCAGCUCACAUUUAUUUGGAAAUCACCCUCCCUGAUUAACAGGCUUCUGAGUUGUACGUGGAGGACUAAUGAGACUUGUACAAGACACCAUGGGGCUUGGGGUCCAGGUCCCAGUUGGAUAUCGGAACAGAGACAGAUAAGUGUGUUUCCUCAUUAAGGUGGUGGGAGUGUGCCUUUUGGCAUUCAGAAAAGGGUUUAGCCACUCUAAGCUGGAAAUAAAGAUUCCCAACUGGAAAUGUUGCAGAAUCCCUACAAGUGUCUCAAUAAAAGCCAUUUUAAAAGAA